Molecule: long non-coding RNA, 443 nt
Organism: Mastomys coucha (southern multimammate mouse)
Lineage: Eukaryota; Metazoa; Chordata; Mammalia; Rodentia; Muridae
Exons: 2
Source: RefSeq, a predicted model, not a curated record
UCAUCCCAGUUGUCCAUCAACAGAUGAAUUUGUGAAAAGAAUGUGAUGUGUAUGUACAACACAGGAUCUCAUUCAGCUAUAAAGAGGAACAAAAGUGGAUGAAAUGACAGCAGACCUCUCACAGAGUGCCGAUGACUGAAGGGACUUGAGUUAAGACUGUGGUCUGUUUGCCACGCCCCUGCAACUGGGACCAGGAACCCUGGAAGUUCUUUGGAAGUUGUACAUCUGAAGGAGUCAUUUCACUUCUGGGUGCCACCAUUGCAGGCUGACAGGCACAGCAGAUAAUAAUAAUGAGGUGGUACACUCAGAACUGAGCCACACUGUGAUACAGACGUCCUUAAUGAAGUGAAGGUGUUUAGCCAGGACUGCUGUAGACAUUCGAAAAAUAAGCAUUAUCUUAAAAUACUUGACAGUGGUCACUGGAGAAUAAAAUUAAACUUUCA